This 501-nucleotide ribosomal RNA is filed under the name uncultured bacterium. Its description in RNAcentral is "partial 16S ribosomal RNA". It matches the Rfam family "Bacterial small subunit ribosomal RNA", at positions 30 to 523 of the family's 1533-position model. The record is from RNAcentral.
AUUGAACGCUGGCGGCAGGCUUAACACAUGCAAGUCGAGCGGGGGAGGGUAGCUUGCUACCGGACCUAGCGGCGGACGGGUGAGUAAUGCUUAGGAAUCUGCCUAUUAGUGGGGGACAACAUCUCGAAAGGGAUGCUAAUACCGCAUACGUCCUACGGGAGAAAGCAGGGGAUCUUCGGACCUUGCGCUAAUAGAUGAGCCUAAGUCGGAUUAGCUAGUUGGUGGGGUAAAGGCCUACCAAGGCGACGAUCUGUAGCGGGUCUGAGAGGAUGAUCCGCCACACUGGGACUGAGACACGGCCCGGACUCCUACGGGAGGCAGCAGUGGGGAAUAUUGGACAAUGGGGGGAACCCUGAUCCAGCCAUGCCGCGUGUGUGAAGAAGGCCUUAUGGUUGUAAAGCACUUUAAGCGAGGAGGAGGCUACUCUAGUUAAUACCUAGGGAUAGUGGACGUUACUCGCAGAAUAAGCACCGGCUAACUCUGUGCCAGCCGCCGCAGUAA